UACGUAGGUGGCAAGCGUUGUUCGGAAUUACUGGGCGUAAAGCGCACGUAGGCGGCUUUGUAAGUUAGAGGUGAAAGCCCGGGGCUCAACUCCGGAAUUGCCUUUAAGACUGCAUCGCUAGAAUUGUGGAGAGGUAAGUGGAAUUCCGAGUGUAGAGGUGAAAUUCGUAGAUAUUCGGAAGAACACCAGUGGCGAAGGCGACUCACUGGCUCGUAUCUGACGCUCAGGCGCGACAGCGUGGGGAUCAAACAGG
Molecule: ribosomal RNA, 253 nt
Filed under: uncultured bacterium
Lineage: Bacteria
Description: partial 16S ribosomal RNA
Rfam family: Bacterial small subunit ribosomal RNA
Source: RNAcentral